UUACGGUCAAAUCACGCUGAAACACCGGUUCUCGCACGAUCACCGAAGUUAAGCAGCGUAGAGCCAGGUCAGUUAGAUGGGGGACCGCUUGGGAACACCUGGUACUGUAAG
RNAcentral lists this ribosomal RNA (111 nucleotides) under Acanthosepion pharaonis. Lineage: Eukaryota; Metazoa; Mollusca; Cephalopoda; Sepiida; Sepiidae. The record is from RNAcentral.